Molecule: ribosomal RNA, 450 nt
Filed under: uncultured bacterium
Lineage: Bacteria
Description: partial 16S ribosomal RNA
Rfam family: Bacterial small subunit ribosomal RNA
Source: RNAcentral
GUGGGGAAUAUUGGACAAUGGGCGAAAGCCUGAUCCAGCCAUGCCGCGUGUGUGAAGAAGGUCUUCGGAUUGUAAAGCACUUUAAGUUGGGAGGAAGGGUAGUAACCUAAUACGUUGCUACUUUGACGUUACCGACAGAAUAAGCACCGGCUAACUUCGUGCCAGCAGCCGCGGUAAUACGAAGGGUGCAAGCGUUAAUCGGAAUUACUGGGCGUAAAGCGCGCGUAGGUGGGUCAGUAAGUUGGAAGUGAAAUCCCCGGGCUCAACCUGGGAACUGCUUUCAAAGCUGCUGAGCUAGAGUACGGUAGAGGGUGGUGGAAUUUCCUGUGUAGCGGUGAAAUGCGUAGAUAUAGGAAGGAACACCAGUGGCGAAGGCGACCACCUGGACUGAUACUGACACUGAGGUGCGAAAGCGUGGGGAGCAAACAGGAUUAGAAACCCUGGUAGUCC